AUUGAACGCUGGCGGCAUGCCUUACACAUGCAAGUCGAACGGCAGCAUAGGAGCUUGCUCCUGAUGGCGAGUGGCGAACGGGUGAGUAAUAUAUCGGAACGUGCCCUAGAGUGGGGGAUAACUAGUCGAAAGACUAGCUAAUACCGCAUACGAUCUACGGAUGAAAGUGGGGGAUCGCAAGACCUCAUGCUCCUGGAGCGGCCGAUAUCUGAUUGGCUAGUUGGUGGGGUAAAAGCCUACCAAGGCAACGAGCAGUAGCUGGUCUGAGAGGACGACCAGCCAAUAUGGGACUGAGACACGGCCGAGAAUCCUACGGGAGGAAGCAGUGGGGAAUUUUGGACAAUGGGGGCAACCCUGAUCCAGCAAUGCCGCGUGAGUGAAGAAGGCCUUCGGGUUGUAAAGCUCUUUUGCCAGGGAAGAAACGGUAGUAGAGAAUAUCUAUUACUAAUGACGGUACCUGAAGAAUAAGCACCGGCUAACUACGUGCCAGCCGCCGCAGUAA
Molecule: ribosomal RNA, 502 nt
Filed under: uncultured bacterium
Lineage: Bacteria
Description: partial 16S ribosomal RNA
Rfam family: Bacterial small subunit ribosomal RNA
Source: RNAcentral